AGCUCCAAUAGCGUAUAUUAAAGUUGCUGCAGUUAAAAAGCUCGUAGUUGCAUUUCCGAGGCAAGGGAUUAGUCCGACCUUUGGUGGGUAUUUAAUCCUCUUGCCUCGUCCUUGAGUGGUGCUUCUUGGUAUUAAGUUAUCGAGGAGAUAGCCGCUCAUCGUUUACUGUGAGAAAAUUAGAGUGUUCAAAGCAGGCUUAUGCCGUUGAAUAUAUUAGCAUGGAAUAAUAAGAUAGGACCUCGGUACUAGUUUGUUGGUUUGAGAACCAAGGUAAUGAUGAAUAGGGACAGUUGGGGGUAUUCGUAUUCAGUUGUCAGAGGUGAAAUUCUUAGAUUUACGGAAGACGAACUACUGCGAAAGCAUUUACCAAGGAUGUUUGCA
RNAcentral lists this ribosomal RNA (381 nucleotides) under uncultured marine Chaetocerotaceae. RNAcentral describes it as "SSU rRNA". It matches the Rfam family "Eukaryotic small subunit ribosomal RNA", at positions 587 to 972 of the family's 1831-position model. The record is from RNAcentral. Lineage: Eukaryota; Bacillariophyta; Thalassiosirophyceae; Chaetocerotales; Chaetocerotaceae.